AACGAACGCUGGCGGCAUGCCUAACACAUGCAAGUCGAACGAGACCUUCGGGUCUAGUGGCGCACGGGUGCGUAACGCGUGGGAACCUGCCCUUAGGUUCGGAAUAACUCCCCGAAGGGGGUGCUAAUACCGGAUAAUGUCUUCGGACCAAAGAUUUAUCGCCUUUGGACGGGCCCGCGUUGGAUUAGCUAGUUGGUAGGGUAAAAGCCUACCAAGGCGACGAUCCAUAGCUGGUCUGAGAGGAUGAUCAGCCACACUGGGACUGAGACACGGCCCAGACUCCUACGGGAGGCAGCAGUGGGGAAUAUUGGACAAUGGGCGAAAGCCUGAUCCAGCAAUGCCGCGUGAGUGAUGAAGGCCUUAGGGUUGUAAAGCUCUUUUACCCGGGAUGAUAAUGACAGUACCGGGAGAAUAAGCUCCGGCUAACUCCGUG
Molecule: ribosomal RNA, 433 nt
Filed under: uncultured bacterium
Lineage: Bacteria
Description: partial 16S ribosomal RNA
Rfam family: Bacterial small subunit ribosomal RNA
Source: RNAcentral